CGGAAUGUAGCGCAGCUUGGUAGCGCACUUGUCUGGGGGAUAAGUGGUCGCAGGUUCAAAUCCUGCCAUUCCGACCA
This 77-nucleotide transfer RNA is filed under the name Oleispira antarctica. RNAcentral describes it as "tRNA-Pro". It matches the Rfam family "tRNA". Rfam says of the family: Transfer RNA (tRNA) molecules are approximately 80 nucleotides in length. Their secondary structure includes four short double-helical elements and three loops (D, anti-codon, and T loops). Further hydrogen bonds mediate the characteristic L-shaped molecular structure. tRNAs have two regions of fundamental functional importance: the anti-codon, which is responsible for specific mRNA codon recognition, and the 3' end, to which the tRNAs corresponding amino acid is attached (by aminoacyl-tRNA synthetases). tRNAs cope with the degeneracy of the genetic code in two manners: having more than one tRNA (with a specific anti-codon) for a particular amino acid; and 'wobble' base-pairing, i.e. permitting non-standard base-pairing at the 3rd anti-codon position. Lineage: Bacteria; Pseudomonadati; Pseudomonadota; Gammaproteobacteria; Oceanospirillales; Oceanospirillaceae. RNAcentral also lists the same sequence under 3 other names. The record is from RNAcentral.